RNAcentral lists this transfer RNA (85 nucleotides) under Felis catus (domestic cat). It matches the Rfam family "tRNA". Rfam says of the family: Transfer RNA (tRNA) molecules are approximately 80 nucleotides in length. The record is from Rfam by way of RNAcentral. Lineage: Eukaryota; Metazoa; Chordata; Mammalia; Carnivora; Felidae.
ACCUGGUUGGCUCAGUUGGUUGAGUGUCUGACUUUGGCUCAGGUCACCAUCUCACGGUUCAUGAGUUCGAGCCCCACAUCAGGCU